UGUUUCACAUUACUGUUAUCA
Molecule: non-coding RNA, 21 nt
Filed under: Caenorhabditis elegans
Lineage: Eukaryota; Metazoa; Nematoda; Chromadorea; Rhabditida; Rhabditidae
Source: RNAcentral